This 500-nucleotide ribosomal RNA is filed under the name uncultured bacterium. RNAcentral describes it as "bacterial SSU rRNA". It matches the Rfam family "Bacterial small subunit ribosomal RNA", at positions 29 to 523 of the family's 1533-position model. The record is from RNAcentral.
AUUGAACGCUGGCGGCAUGCCUUACACAUGCAAGUCGAACGGCAGCACGGGAGCAAUCCUGGUGGCGAGUGGCGAACGGGUGAGUAAUAUAUCGGAACGUGCCCAGUAGUGGGGGAUAGCCCGGCGAAAGCCGGAUUAAUACCGCAUACGACCUGUGGGUGAAAGCGGGGGAUCGCAAGACCUCGCGCUAUUGGAGCGGCCGAUAUCAGAUUAGCUAGUUGGUGGGGUAAAGGCCUACCAAGGCGACGAUCUGUAGCUGGUCUGAGAGGACGACCAGCCACACUGGGACUGAGACACGGCCCAGACUCCUACGGGAGGCAGCAGUGGGGAAUUUUGGACAAUGGGCGCAAGCCUGAUCCAGCCAUGCCGCGUGUGGGAAGAAGGCCUUCGGGUUGUAACCACUUUAGUCAGGGAAGAAACGGACCUUUCUAAUACAAGGGCGUAAUGACGGUACCUGAAGAAUAAGACACCGGCUAACUACGUGCCAGCAGCCGCGGUAA